GACGAACGCUGGCGGCGUGCCUAAUACAUGCAAGUAGAACGCACAGUUUAUACCGUAGCUUGCUACACCAUAGACUGUGAGUUGCGAACGGGUGAGUAACGCGUAGGUAACCUGCCUGGUAGCGGGGGAUAACUAUUGGAAACGAUAGCUAAUACCGCAUAAUAUUAAUUAUUGCAUGAUAAUUGAUUGAAAGAUGCAACUGCAUCACUACCAGCUGGACCUGCGUUGUAUUAGCUAGUAGGUGAGGUAACGGCUCACCUAGGCGACGAUACAUAGCCGACCUGGGAGGGUGAUCGGCCACACUGGGACUGAGACACGGCCCAGACUCCUACGGGAGGCAGCAGUAGGGAAUCUUCGGCAAUGGACGGAAGUCUGACCGAGCAACGCCGCGUGAGUGAAGGAGGUUUUCGGAUCGUAAAGCUCUGUUGUAAGAGAAGAACGGGUGUGAGAGUGGAAAGUUCACACUGUGACGGUAUCUUACCAGAAAGAGACGGCUAACUACGUG
Molecule: ribosomal RNA, 505 nt
Filed under: uncultured bacterium
Lineage: Bacteria
Description: partial 16S ribosomal RNA
Rfam family: Bacterial small subunit ribosomal RNA
Source: RNAcentral